RNAcentral lists this long non-coding RNA (3388 nucleotides) under Triticum aestivum (bread wheat). RNAcentral's name for it is "long non-coding RNA (TAES_LNC024051)". The record is from RNAcentral. Lineage: Eukaryota; Viridiplantae; Streptophyta; Magnoliopsida; Poales; Poaceae.
UUUUUUUUCUCUCCCUCUUUCCAAGACAAACUAGAUAAGAUGCAGAUUGGAUCAAGCGAAGAUGUGAACGACCUCAACUAUGAUUGUGACAAUGAACUAUGGGUAGCACAUGGUGGAAUUUGAUGGAUGGUGUGGUGGACAGCAGAAGGGAUAACGAUGCAGCGGCGACGUGACUAAUGUGAACAGAACUCGAAACUCUAAACGAACUAGAUUCUAAGACCAGCAACUCGACACGACGAUGCAACCGAUAAUUCAAUAAUGCAAACAAUGAAUAGAAAAUUGCAAAGGCUCAGACUGGCUUGGACAAAAGGAUGAAUAGAUCUAACUUUUUUGUGGCUUUUUCUUGGACAAUAGGUAAGAAAAUAAAUCUAAUCUAGGGGAAACUGGAAAUUCUCACCGAGCAACCUGAAAACUGAUACCACUUGAUAGAGGCAAAGGUGUCCCGAUCUUUCGAUGAGAUGAUAACUAUCGAUUUGGUGGAGACGACUUUGACGAUCCGACUACAAACGUGCACGACGUUGCGCCUUAUCAAUCGCUAAACCAAUCUCCUGAGGUUACUGACGAUGCCGGAAGCACGAUCAGCCUGACCACGAAGGUCUAUUCCUGCAAGCAAUCGAAGACCGAGCAAGAAUAUGAUAAUGCAAUCUGAAUAUUGCGAAUAUAUAUGAAGUAUUGAUAGUGGUGGGAAUCCGUAAGCGGUCUUGGUCUGGUCGUUGGACACAAACGAAGUACACGAAGUUGCAAUGGCUAACUUUUAACUAAACAAAUUCCAAGGAAAAAGCUACUAGAUGGAUCUACUUAUAUAGGAGCAAGGGGUGGCGGCCAAGGAGGUGGGAGGACGUCCCAAGGCAGCCUAAAACCAACCCUAGGUCGUACAAGGCUCAUGGGCCCAAGUGGAGGUGAUGCAACACCUUUGGACUUGUAGUUUGACUCGGAUUCUGGUGCAACGUCAGAUUGUUUCGACCAUAACUCAAUGCUCCGGACGAAUUUAAAGGUGAAUCCAAUUGGGUUGGAAAGAGCACAAAAUCUAGUUUCCAACAAAAAAAGAAUCACCCAAUUCGGAGUCCGUAUGAAAAAGUUGUUGGCGUUUUGAGUCAGGUAUGUCUGUGCAGUCCGAAUCUGAAUCCAGAACGUGAGAGACUUGGACUCUAUCUUCUCUUGGCCCAAAAGUGACGUGAGAGGACUUUUUGAACAGAACCUAAACUUCUCCUUUUGCCUUAUCUUCAUAUGUGGAUUGUACAAAUGUCCCAUACACCUGCAAUUAGACAAAACACAAAAGUGUGUGAAGUAUUUUUGUUCUGGAUAACAUAAAUAGAUUAUUGAAUAGUUUGCACUAGAAAUCACCUGACAAAUAUGCAUGUAUGCAAUAUUUUUGGUCGUAUCCAAGGUAGUCAUGUCCUCAUCAGGUUGUCAUAGUAUGCUUAGUAGUUGAAGGGACAACCGUAUCAACUCUUGGAAUGUGCAUCUCGCGCUUGUUCUCCUUGUGCGCAACACGUCGUUUUAUUUCCUGUUCAGCUUUGCAAGCAAGAUGAAACAAAUGGUCCAUAGGAUAACACUCUUCAUGUAUUAGUAUCUCCUGAAUGUCACGAUUUAAUCCUCCCCAAAAUCUAUCCAUAAAAUCUUCUUCACUUUCUUCUAAAGAGGAAUGCAGCAAGGUAGUUUGUAAAGUAUCAUAAUAUUUCGUUACGGUGUCACUACCUUGUUUUAAAUGUUGCAACUUUGUAAUCAUGUCACGAGUAUAAUAAGCGGGAACGAAUGUAUGUCGCAUGGCAAGUUUCAAAUCAUCCCAAGUAGUAGGUAUAUCAUUAGGGUGUAACCGACAAUAUUCACUCCACCAAACUACAGCAUAACCAGUGAAAGAACCAACCGCAACCUUAACUUUUUUACGCACAUCAAAAUUAGUGGAAGCAAAUAUAUUAUUUAGGUCAAACUCCCAUUCAAUAUAUAAAGCGGGUCUAAAACGGCCAUUAAAUGGUGGUAUAGAAACAUUAACCUGAUCAUGUGCAUUUGGAUGUUUGUGCACCUCUCGUGACGGUUGUGGUAUUUGCAUAGGUGAUGGCACAUCUCCCACGAUCGACAAACCCCAUGAAUUGACUCUAGGUCCUGUCAUGAUUAGUAGAAACAAGAAACAAAAUUCAAGAAUAAUGUUCCUAUGAACUACUAGGAUGUGGUGGUAAAGCGCUCACAGUAAAGCAAAUAUCAAUAUCUUACAAGUUCUUACCAAGCAGCAGGUGGUGACAGGCAACCAGCGGUGUCAAAUAACUCCAAAGAUUGAGUAAAGCGAUUUCCAGGGGAACGUACGUAUACACGGUGUAGAAAUAUGUGGAGCUGGGUUGGCUAUAUAUGGUAGCAAAAUAUUAGCAAUAAUCAAUUCAGAGAUGCAAUGUUGAAUAAACGCUCAACGACGAUACUGUGCUGGUCCUAGGCUAGACCGGACUAGAGACGCGAGCCUAGAACACUAAUGAGGUCACGGCGUAGCACAACUAGCAUCAAUGAAGGAUACUAAGUAGCUCUGGACAGCAAGAUAUAAGUGAAGAUCACAACGGCAGUAAAGAUAAUGAUGAAAAACAACUGCCAAGCAGGAUAUACAACAACUCUCUCCAACUUUCCUCUUGAAAAGUUUGUGCCAAUUUUCUGAUAAUUUUUUUCAAAGAAUGCUACUAACUCAAGCUUUCCAAUGCAAAAAGAAUCACUCAAUUCCGAGUUGAUAUGAGGAGUGAAAGAAUUCUGAAACUGGCUUGAAAAACUGGAAUAAGCUGUGUCCGCGAACUUCGGAGGGCAAAAAGACCUAUUUAGAAGACGAUUUUGAGGUGUCAAAUAUUGAACUAGUCUCUGCAACUAUUUAGAUGCGGCUCGUCGCUAGCUUUCAUUUGAGUACUCGCGGAGUCAAAACGGACUUCGUAUGAAGGUAUGCCUGUUUUACUAAACAGUGCACAAAACAGAUUCCAAUCCGAAUUCAACUACGAGAUUGAGUCUAGAUAGAUCCGAAUUUUGUUUUUUUUUCUUCUCUCUUUUUUUUCUCACACUUUUUUUCUUCUCUUUUUUUUCUGACUUCUUUUUCUUUUUUUUUCUCUUUUUUUUCUCUGUCUUUUUUUUCUCUCCCUCUUUCCAAGACAAACUAGAUAAGAUGCAGAUUGGAUCAAGCGAAGAUGUGAACGACCUCAACUAUGAUUGUGACAAUGAACUAUGGGUAGCACAUGGUGGAAUUUGAUGGAUGGUGUGGUGGACAGCAGAAGGGAUAACGAUGCAGCGGCGACGUGACUAAUGUGAACAGAACUCGAAACUCUAAACGAACUAGAUUCUAAGACCAGCAACUCGACACGACGAUGCAACCGAUAAUUCAAUAAUGCAAACAAUGAAUAGAAAAUUGCAAAGGCUCAGACUGGCU